GACGAACGCUGGCGGCGUGGAUUAGGCAUGCAAGUCGAACGGUAGGAUACCUUCGGGUAUCUGAGAGUGGCGAACGGGUGAGUAACACGUAGGUGAUCUACCCUCAAGAUUGGGACAACCCAGGGAAACUUGGGCUAAUACCGGAUGAAAGCAGCAGUGAUGUUGUUUGAAAGAUGGCGUAAGCUGCCGUUUGGGGAUGAGCCUGCGCUCUAUUAGUUAGUUGGCGGGGUAAAGGCCCACCAAGGCGAUGAUAGAUAGGCGGCCUUAACGGGUGGUCGCCCACACUGGGAUUGAGAUACGGCCCAGACUCCUACGGGAGGCAGCAGUCGAGAAUAGUCUACAAUGGCCGAAAGGCUGAUAGUGCGACGCCGCGUGAACGAAGAAGCCCUUCGGGUGUAAAGUCUUUUAUAUGUGAGCAGUGCUUUCUAUGUGAACAGCAUGGGGAGAGAGAUAUAGCAUAUGAAUAAGCAACGGCUAACUCCGUGCC
RNAcentral lists this ribosomal RNA (487 nucleotides) under uncultured bacterium. RNAcentral describes it as "bacterial SSU rRNA". It matches the Rfam family "Bacterial small subunit ribosomal RNA", at positions 28 to 509 of the family's 1533-position model. The record is from RNAcentral.